UACGAGUGCCCCAAGCGUUAUCCGGAAUCAUUGGGCGUAAAGGGUGUGUAGGCGGUUAUAUUAGUCUUCUGUUAAAGCUCCCGGCUCAACCGGGAAAAUGCAGAAGAAACGGUAUGACUAGAGGAUGCGAGAGGUGAAUGGAACUCAUAGUGUAGGGGUGAAAUCCGUUGAUAUUAUGGGGAACACCAAAUGCGAAGGCAAUUCACUGGCGCACUCCUGACGCUGAAACACGAAAGCGUGGGUAGCGAAUGGG
RNAcentral lists this ribosomal RNA (253 nucleotides) under uncultured bacterium. RNAcentral's name for it is "partial 16S ribosomal RNA". It matches the Rfam family "Bacterial small subunit ribosomal RNA", at positions 524 to 776 of the family's 1533-position model. The record is from RNAcentral.